CUACGGGACGCUGCAGUGGGGAAUAUUGGACAAUGGGGGAAACCCUGAUCCAGCAAUGCCGCGUGUGUGAAGAAGGCCUGCGGGUUGUAAAGCACUUUCGGUUGGGAGGACUGCUUCUAGCACUAAUAUUGUUGGAAGUUGACGUUACCUUCAGAAGAAGCACCGGCUAACUCCGUGCCAGCAGCCGCGGUAAUACGGAGGGUGCAAGCGGUAAUCGGAAUUACUGGGCGUAAAGCGCGCGUAGGCGGCUAGAUCAGUCGGGCGUGAAAGCCCCGGGCUUAACCUGGGAACUGCAUCCGAUACUGUCUAGCUUGAGUACAGGAGAGGAGAGUGGAAUUCCACAUGUAGCGGUGACAUGCGUAGAUAUGUGGAGGAACACCAAUGGCGAAGGCAGCUCUCUGGCCUGAUACUGACGCUGAGGUGCGAAAGCGUGGGGAGCAAACAGGAUUAGAUACCCCCGUAGUC
This 465-nucleotide ribosomal RNA is filed under the name uncultured bacterium. RNAcentral describes it as "partial 16S ribosomal RNA". It matches the Rfam family "Bacterial small subunit ribosomal RNA", at positions 339 to 795 of the family's 1533-position model. The record is from RNAcentral.